Molecule: ribosomal RNA, 338 nt
Filed under: uncultured bacterium
Lineage: Bacteria
Description: bacterial SSU rRNA
Rfam family: Bacterial small subunit ribosomal RNA
Source: RNAcentral
GUGGGAAUCUGCCUUUUGGUUUGGAAUAACACGAGGAAACUUGUGCUAAUACCGGAUAAGCCCUUACGGGGAAAGUUUUAACGCCGAAAGAUGAGCCUGCACUUGAUUAGCUAGUUGGUAAGGUAAAAGCUUACCAAGGCAACGAUCAAUAGCUGUUCUUAGAGGAAGACCAGCCACAUUGGGACUGAGACACGGCCCAGACUCCUACGGGAGGCAGCAGUGGGGAAUCUUGCACAAUGGGGGAAACCCUGAUGCAGCGAUGCCGCGUGAGUGAAGAAGGCCCUUGGGUUGUAAAACUCUUUCGUCAGGGAAGAAAAUGACUGUACCUGAAUAAGAAG